RNAcentral lists this ribosomal RNA (429 nucleotides) under uncultured bacterium. Its description in RNAcentral is "bacterial SSU rRNA". It matches the Rfam family "Bacterial small subunit ribosomal RNA", at positions 355 to 776 of the family's 1533-position model. The record is from RNAcentral.
UGGGGAAUAUUGGACAAUGGGGGAAACCCUGAUCCAGCAAUGCCGCGUGUGCGAUGAAGGCCUGCGGGUUGUAAAGCACUUUCGGUGGGGAGGAAAUGCUCAAAGCUAAUAUCUUUGAGAGCUGACGUUACCCACAGAAGAAGCACCGGCAAACUCUGUGCCAGCAGCCGCGGUAAUACAGAGGGUGCAAGCGUUAAUCGGAGUUACUGGGCGUAAAGGGCGCGUAGGCUGAUAUUUAAGUUAAUUGUGAAAUCCCUGGGCUUAACCUAGGAAUUGCAGUUAAUACUGAGUAUCUAGAGUAUGGUAGAGGAAAGUGGAAUUCUCGGUGUAGUGGUUAAAUACGUAGAUAUCGAGAAGAACACCGGUGGCGAAGGCGACUUUCUGGACCAAUACUGACGCUGAGGCGCGAAAGCGUGGGGAGCAAACAGG